CGAAGGGGGCGUAGCGUUGUUCGGAAUUACUGGGGCGGUAAAAGACGCACGUAGGCGGAUAUUUUAAGUUCAGGGGUGGAAAUACCCGCAGCUCAACUGCGGGAACUGCCUUUGUAUACUGGGUAGUCUUGAGUAUGGAAGAAGGUAAGUGGAAUUCCGAGUGUAGAGGUGAAAUUCGUAGAUAUUCGGAGGAACACCAGUGGCGAAGGCGGCUUACUGGUCCAUUACUGACGCUGAGGUGCGAAAGCGUGGGGAGCAAACAGGAUU
RNAcentral lists this ribosomal RNA (267 nucleotides) under uncultured bacterium. RNAcentral's name for it is "partial 16S ribosomal RNA". It matches the Rfam family "Bacterial small subunit ribosomal RNA", at positions 526 to 779 of the family's 1533-position model. The record is from RNAcentral.